GAUGAACGCUGGCGGCGUGCCUAAUACAUGCAAGUCGAGCGAACGGACGAGAAGCUUGCUUCUCUGAUGUUAGCGGCGGACGGGUGAGUAACACGUGGAUAACCUACCUAUAAGACUGGGAUAACUUCGGGAAACCGGAGCUAAUACCGGAUAAUAUUUUGAACCGCAUGGUUCAAAAGUGAAAGACAGUCUUGCUGUCACUUAUAGAUGGAUCCGCGCUGCAUUAGCUAGUUGGUAAGGUAACGGCUUACCAAGGCAACGAUGCAUAGCCGACCUGAGAGGGUGAUCGGCCACACUGGAACUGAGACACGGUCCAGACUCCUACGGGAGGCAGCAGUAGGGAAUCUUCCGCAAUGGGCGAAAGCCUGACGGAGCAACGCCGCGUGAGUGAUGAAGGUCUUCGGAUCGUAAAACUCUGUUAUUAGGGAAGAACAUAUGUGUAAGUAACUGUGCACAUCUUGACAGUACCUAAUCAGAAAGCCACGGCUAACUACGUG
RNAcentral lists this ribosomal RNA (497 nucleotides) under uncultured bacterium. RNAcentral describes it as "partial 16S ribosomal RNA". It matches the Rfam family "Bacterial small subunit ribosomal RNA", at positions 28 to 507 of the family's 1533-position model. The record is from RNAcentral.